RNAcentral lists this ribosomal RNA (478 nucleotides) under uncultured bacterium. Its description in RNAcentral is "partial 16S ribosomal RNA". It matches the Rfam family "Bacterial small subunit ribosomal RNA", at positions 28 to 507 of the family's 1533-position model. The record is from RNAcentral.
GACGAACGCUGGCGGCGUGCUUAACACAUGCAAGUCGAACGGGAUUUAGUAAACGGAAGCCUCGGUGGAAGAUUACUAAUGAGAGUGGCGAACGGGUGAGUACCGCGUGAGCAACCUGCCUAUGACAGUGGGAUAGCCUCGGGAAACCGGGAUUAAUACCGCAUAAAAUCGUAGAAACACAUGUUUCAACGGUCAAAGAUUUAUCGGUCAUAGAUGGGCUCGCGUCUGAUUAGCUAGUUGGUGAGAUAACAGCCCACCAAGGCGACGAUCAGUAGCCGGGCUGAGAGGAUGAACGGCAACAUUGGAACGGAGACACGGUCCAAAAUCCUACGGGAGGCAGCAGUGGGGAAUAUUGCACAAUGGGGGAAACCCUGAUGCAGCGACGCCGCGUGAACGAAGAAGGUAUUCGUAUCGUAAAGUUCUGUCCUAUGGGAAGAUAAUGACAGUACCAUAGAAGAAAGCUCCGGCUAAAUACGUG